Malus domestica (apple) is the source of this 1135-nucleotide non-coding RNA. NCBI's taxonomy places the organism in Eukaryota, Viridiplantae, Streptophyta, Magnoliopsida, Rosales, Rosaceae. The record is from RefSeq and is a predicted model, not a curated record.
UUGCGGAAGGUUUGGGUUCGAGAGGCCAUGCCGCCUCUGGGAUAGAGAUAGAGGGAGGGAGAGGGAGAGAAAUGAGUAGGGAUCCCUCUCUGAGGGUUUCGCAUUUGGGAGGUCGUGCUUAUGGAGAUAGAGAUAGAUCAUCAUAGAGAUAGAGAUAGGAGAGGGAGAGGGAGAGGGAGAUCAUCCACGAUCCCGGGCGCGGCUCUCCGUUGGCCCGCGUCAGCUUCCGCCAUCCGUUCAGGUACAAGAAGCAGAACGAGCUCUUCGUUGCCGCCGAGGGAAAGAGAUGGGAGUAUUUCUGCGAUUUGCAGAGAGAGAUGGGACAAGGGAGAGAGAGGGAGAUGAAAGGAUUUUCUGCGAGGAUUGAAGGGAACGGGUAUGGGAGUAUGGGUUUACAGGCAACGGUAUGGGCUGCACAGAGAUGAGAGGAUUUCUCCACCACCGCUCUCUCUCCCAACUCUCUCUCUCUCUGAGUGGCUCGAAGAAAAACGAAGAAGACGAAGAGGGAAAUAUACGAUUGCCUAUAGAUCUAAGGUUAGGGUUUCGGAGGGGCAUCUUGAUCUGCGAAAGACGGUGCGUUUUGGGGGAAGAGGAAGAAGAGGAUGGAUUCGGUCCCUUCGAACUCACAUGCGAACCUGGAUGAACAGAUUGCUCAGCUCAUGCAGUGCAAGUCCUUGUCUGAACAAGAGGUUUCUUGGGUAGCUGUGGAACAUCAGAAUACAUCACUCUCAAACACCCACUCUUUGGAACCGACCUUCUAUGCUGGGUUUCUCAAAUGUUAAUUAAUUUGUUCCUUUUAUGGACCAAGAAUGUAAAAGGUAUGGAUCUGGCAAUUUUUUUUUUACGUAUUGAAGAAUACAAAAGGCAUGGUUUUAGCAAGUUGUAUACGAAGACGCAAGACCCAGGGGAGGAAAAGAUAAGGAAAGGUAUUCAUGCAUUAGUGUUUAAUAUUGAUCAAAUAGUGCAUGAAUUGUGUGGCAAGUAUGCUGAGAAGAGAAACACAGAUGGAAUUUGGGGAUGCAAGGAUUGUGGAAAAACUGAAGCUAGCACUGCUAGUUCUUAAACCGUUAAAAGAGCAAAAGAGGAGGAUUUUAGUAAUUAAGGGGACCAAAUUUUGGUGUAAAUGUGUUUUUGG